Molecule: ribosomal RNA, 378 nt
Filed under: uncultured bacterium
Lineage: Bacteria
Description: bacterial SSU rRNA
Rfam family: Bacterial small subunit ribosomal RNA
Source: RNAcentral
UGGGGAAUAUUGGACAAUGGGGGAAACCCUGAUCCAGCAAUGCCGCGUGAGUGCCGAAGGCCUUAGGGUUGUAAAGCUCUUUCGCCCGCGAAGAUAAUGACGGUAGCGGGAGAAGAAGCCCCGGCUACCUCCGUGCCAGCAGCCGCGGUAAUACGGAGGGGGCUAGCGUUGUUCGGAAUUACUGGGCGUAAAGCGUACGUAGGCGGAUGCGCAAGUUGGGGGUGAAAUCCCGGGGCUUAACCUCGGAAUUGCCCUCAAAACUGCACGUCUUGAGACCGAGAGAGGUAAGGGGAAUUCCUAGUGUAGAGGUGAAAUUCGUAGAUAGUAGGAAGGACACCAGUGGCGAAGGCGCCUUACUGGCUCGGUACUGACGCUGAG